This 531-nucleotide ribosomal RNA is filed under the name uncultured bacterium. RNAcentral's name for it is "bacterial SSU rRNA". It matches the Rfam family "Bacterial small subunit ribosomal RNA", at positions 1 to 524 of the family's 1533-position model. The record is from RNAcentral.
UAGAGUUUGAUCCUGGCUCAGGACGAACGCUGGCGGCGCGCUUAAUACAUGCAAGUCGAGCGAGAACCAUGGCUUCGGCCAUGGGGACAGCGGCGAACGGGUGAGUAACACGUGGGUAAUCAACCCCCGACACCGGGAUAGCCCAGGGAAACUUGGAUUAAUACCGGAUGCCCCAUCUGGCUUUCGAGCCGGCUGGAAAAGGGUAGCUUCGGCCUCCGGUCGGGGACGAGCCCGCGGCGGAUUAGCUUGUUGGUGAGGUAAGAGCUCACCAAGGCGACGAUCCGUAGCUGGUCUGAGAGGACGAUCAGCCACACUGGGACUGAGACACGGCCCAGACUCCUACGGGAGGCAGCAGUAGGGAAUCUUGCGCAAUGGGCGAAAGCCUGACGCAGCGACGCCGCGUGAGGGAAGAAGGCCUUCGGGUUGUAAACCUCUUUCAGGAGGGACGAAGCCACUCGGGUUAAUAGCCCAGAGGGUGACGGUACCUCCAGAAGAAGCCCCGGCUAACUACGUGCCAGCAGCCGCGGUAAU